This 1515-nucleotide ribosomal RNA is filed under the name Triticum aestivum (bread wheat). RNAcentral's name for it is "partial small subunit ribosomal RNA". Lineage: Eukaryota; Viridiplantae; Streptophyta; Magnoliopsida; Poales; Poaceae. The record is from RNAcentral.
AUGAAGCCCCCGCCCCUGCCGGCGCCCGCCAGAGCGCCGCUCCCGUGGAUCUCCCCACUCCAGUACCGCAGCCCCACCCGCGCGGCGCCCGCCUCCCCGCCCCCGCCGCCGCCGCCGCCCUCCUCUCCCCCGCCGCACCGCGUCGACCACCCGGACCUCGCGCGCCUCAUCNNNNNNNNNNNNUCCGGGCAGCGCGCGCUCGACCUCUUCAACGCCGCCGCGGAGCAGCGCGGCUUCUCGCACACCGCGUCCACCUUCUCCGCGCUCCUCAUCCGCCUCGCGCGCGCCCGCCUCCCGUCCGCCGCCACCGCCGUCCUCCGCCGCGCCGCCUCCGCGCCCUGCCGCUUCCUCGAGCCGCACCUCCUGCCGCUCCUCCGCCUCCUCCCGCCCGACCACGCCCUCGCGCUCCUCCGCCUCCUGCCGUCGCUCCUCCACCGCCGCCGCGUCUCGCACAAGGCCCUCGCCGUCUGCCUCGACCGCCUCGUCUCCUCCCGCUGCCCCGACGUCCUCGCCGACCUCAUAGCCGACCUGCGCGACCCCCGGAACAAGUACCUCCCCGCUCCAAACACCUGCGUCUACAACAUCCUCAUCAAGCACUACAUCAAGAACGGCGACUCCGAGACCGCCUUCAGGGUGCUCGAUGAAAUGCGUGAGUACACCUGCGGCGAUGUGAGGCCAAACCUGGUCACCUAUUCGACCUUGCUAGGUGGGCUCUGUCGUGCUGGUAAGAUGAAGGAAGCGUUUGAACUGUUCGAGGGGAUGAUCGAGAAAGACCACAUCGUGCCGGACCAGCUGACAUACAAUGUGAUCAUCGACGGGUUCUGCCGGCUGGGGCAGGUGGAGAAGGCACAGACAAUCUUUGGUUUUAUGAGGAAGAAUGAGUGUGAGCCAAAUGCUUUCAACUAUGCAACUCUUAUCAAUGGACACUGCAAGAAAGGGGAAGUGGAGAAUGCAAAGCUGGUGUUUGAGGAGAUGAGGACUGCUGGGGUGGAACCAGACGCCGUCAGCUACACGGCAUUGAUCGGGUGCCUUUGCAGACAUGGGAGUGUCGAUGAGGGGAUCGAUCUUCUGAUGGAGAUGAGGGAGAAGGGAUGCAAGGCUGAUGUUGUCACAUACAAUCUGCUGCUUGAAGGGCUGUGCAAAGAUGGGCGGAUGGCGGAAGUAAUGGACUUGCUUGGGAGAUUGCCACAGGAAGGAGUUCAGUUGAACGUCGCAAGCUAUCGGAUUGUGAUGAAUACUCUAUGCUCAAGUGGAGAUAUGGAGAAGGCCGUUGGCUUGCUGGGAUUAAUGCUCAGAAGAGGGUUUUUGCCGCACUAUGCAGCCUCAAACAAAUUGUUGAUUGGUCUGUGCGAUGUUGGGCAAGUGGCAGAUGCGACAGCCGCAUUGUAUGGAUUGGCCAAAUUUGGGUUCAUGCCAGAGGCUAGUUGUUGGGCAAAGCUUAUUGAGGCUGUGUGCCGGGACAGAAAACUUAGGAGAUCUGUUGAGCUUCUGGAUAUCUUAAUUACAGGAGGGUGA